GAAUGGCUCAUUAAAUCAGAAAUAAUUUAUUUGAUGAUCUUUUUACAUGGAUAACCGUGGGAAACUGGGGCUAAUACAUGCGUAAAGCCUAACGGCUGUAUUUAUUAGUUUCAAUCCAAUGUAACUUCUGUUAAAUUUGAGGAAUCAUAAUAACUAAUCGGAGCGAUGCAAGUCGCUACAUCAUUCAAGUUUCUGCCCUAUCAGCUUGUUGGUAGCGUAUUGGACUACCAAGGCUAUAACGGGUAACGGAGAAUUGGGGUUCGAUUCCGGAGAAGGAGCCUGAGAAACGGCUACUAUUUCUAAGGAAGGCAGCAGGCGCGUAAAUUACCCAAUCCUGACUCAGGGAGGUAGUUAAUGGAAAUAAUGAAUCCGUCUCAUUGAGAUUUGGACAAGUAAUGAGUUGAAUUUAGAUAAUUCUUCGAAUACUAUUGAAGGGCAAGUCUGGUGCCAGCAGCCGCGGUAAUUCCAGCUUCAAUAGCGUAUAUUAAAGUUGUUGCAGUUAAAAAGUUCGUAGUUGAAUGUCGGCAAUUUGCCUGUCAGAUCAUCAUGUCGCUAUACUUGUAUUGUGGCAUGAGUGACUGACUUUUACUGUGAAAAAAUUAAAGUGCUCAAAACAGGCGUUUGCUUGAAUAAUUUAGCAUGGAAUAAUAAAAUAAGACUUUCUUCAUUUUAUUG
This 675-nucleotide ribosomal RNA is filed under the name uncultured eukaryote. RNAcentral describes it as "bacterial SSU rRNA". It matches the Rfam family "Eukaryotic small subunit ribosomal RNA", at positions 91 to 844 of the family's 1831-position model. The record is from RNAcentral.